ACUCAAAGGAAUUGACGGGGGCCCGCACAAGCGGUGGAGUAUGUGGUUUAAUUCGAUGCAACGCGAAGAACCUUACCUGGCCUUGACAUCCGCGGAACUUGGCAGAGAUGCCUUGGUGCCUUCGGGAACCGCGAGACAGGUGCUGCAUGGCUGUCGUCAGCUCGUGUCGUGAGAUGUUGGGUUAAGUCCCGCAACGAGCGCAACCCUUGUCCCUAGUUGCCAGCACAUUAUGGUGGGAACUCUAGGGAGACCGCCGGUGACAAACCGGAGGAAGGUGGGGAUGACGUCAAGUCCUCAUGGCCCUUACGGCCAGGGCUACACACGUACUACAAUGGUGGGUACAAAGGGUUGCCAAGCCGCGAGGCGGAGCCAAUCCCAGAAAACCCAUCUCAGUCCGGAUCGGAGUCUGCAACUCGACUCCGUGAAGUCGGAAUCGCUAGUAAUCGCGGAUCAGCAAUGCCGCGGUGAAUACGUUCCCGGGCCUUGUACACACCGCCCGU
RNAcentral lists this ribosomal RNA (500 nucleotides) under uncultured bacterium. RNAcentral's name for it is "partial 16S ribosomal RNA". It matches the Rfam family "Bacterial small subunit ribosomal RNA", at positions 899 to 1397 of the family's 1533-position model. The record is from RNAcentral.